This 468-nucleotide ribosomal RNA is filed under the name uncultured bacterium. RNAcentral's name for it is "partial 16S ribosomal RNA". It matches the Rfam family "Bacterial small subunit ribosomal RNA", at positions 28 to 507 of the family's 1533-position model. The record is from RNAcentral.
GAUGAACGCUGGCGGCGUGCCUAAUACAUGCAAGUCGAGCGGACAGGCCCUGCUCUUGUUCGGUGCUCGUGUGCGGCACAGGUGUGUAUCACGCGUGUAACAUGUCCUUGUAUUUGGGAUAUAUUUUGGAAACUGGGGAUAAUAUCGCAUAGAAUAUCUUGAUGCAUGUGGGUGAAUGGUAAGAUUCGGCGGUUGGGGAUGGAAUCGCGGCUUACCAGCUUGUUGGUGGGGUAGUUGCUUACCAAGGCUUUGACGGGUAGCCGGCCUGAGAGGGUGACCGGCCACAUUGGGACUGAGAGACGGCCCAGACUCCUACGUGAGGCAGCAGUGGGGAAUAUUGCACAAUGAGCGGAAGCCUGAUGCAACAACGCCGCGUGCGGGAUGACGGGCUUCGGGUUGUAAACCGCUGUCGCCGGUGACGAAGCGGGAGUGACGGUAAUGGGUAAAGAAGCACCGGCUAACUACGUG